RNAcentral lists this ribosomal RNA (464 nucleotides) under uncultured bacterium. RNAcentral's name for it is "partial 16S ribosomal RNA". It matches the Rfam family "Bacterial small subunit ribosomal RNA", at positions 28 to 507 of the family's 1533-position model. The record is from RNAcentral.
GACGAACGCUGGCGGCGUGCUUAACACAUGCAAGUCGAACGGUAAGGCCCUUUCGGGGGUACACGAGUGGCGAACGGGUGAGUAACACGUGGGUGAUCUGCCCUGCACUUUGGGAUAAGCCUGGGAAACUGGGUCUAAUACCGGAUAGGACUACGCGAUGCAUGUCGUGUGGUGGAAAGCUUUUGCGGUGUGGGGUGGGCCCGCGGCCUAUCAGCUUGUUGGUGGGGUGAUGGCCUACCAAGGCGACGACGGGUAGCCGGCCUGAGAGGGUGUCCGGCCACACUGGGACUGAGAUACGGCCCAGACUCCUACGGGAGGCAGCAGUGGGGAAUAUUGCACAAUGGGCGCAAGCCUGAUGCAGCGACGCCGCGUGGGGGAUGACGGCCUUCGGGUUGUAAACCCCUUUCAGCACAGACGAAGCGUAAGUGACGGUAUGUGCAGAAGAAGCACCGGCCAACUACGUG